Molecule: ribosomal RNA, 468 nt
Filed under: uncultured bacterium
Lineage: Bacteria
Description: partial 16S ribosomal RNA
Rfam family: Bacterial small subunit ribosomal RNA
Source: RNAcentral
GACGAACGCUGGCGGCGUGCUUAACACAUGCAAGUCGAACGGAAAGGCCCUGCUUUUGUGAGGUGCUCGAGUGGCGAACGGGUGAGUAACACGUGAGUAACCUGCCCUUGACUUUGGGAUAACUUCAGGAAACUGGGGCUAAUACCGGAUAGGAGCUCCUGCUGCAUGGUGGGGGUUGGAAAGUUUCGGCGGUUGGGGAUGGACUCGCGGCUUAUCAGCUUGUUGGUGGGGUAGUGGCUUACCAAGGCUUUGACGGGUAGCCGGCCUGAGAGGGUGACCGGCCACAUUGGGACUGAGAUACGGCCCAGACUCCUACGGGAGGCAGCAGUGGGGAAUAUUGCACAAUGGGCGGAAGCCUGAUGCAGCAACGCCGCGUGCGGGAUGACGGCCUUCGGGCUGUAAACCGCUUUCGCCUGUGACGAAGCGUGAGUGACGGUAAUGGGUAAAGAAGCACCGGCUAACUACGUG